Mastomys coucha (southern multimammate mouse) is the source of this 474-nucleotide long non-coding RNA. RefSeq lists it as uncharacterized. NCBI's taxonomy places the organism in Eukaryota, Metazoa, Chordata, Mammalia, Rodentia, Muridae. The record is from RefSeq and is a predicted model, not a curated record. The transcript has 3 exons.
UCUGUCUCAAAAUAACAAAACAAAAGAAGAGGAAAAGGAGGUUCCAGAUAAUUAGGUUCAUGAUCCCUCAGAUCCAUUGCUUCUGAGCUUGGGAGAAGCAGAAACUAAGCAGCAGUCAGUGGAUGCUGAAAUUGAGAAAGGCACUCUGCCUGCAAUCCCGAAACUUGGAAGCUGAACCUGACGCACGAGUUCCAGACCAACCUAGACUUUGUAACGUAGCAAAACCUUGUCUCGAAAAGCAGAUGUUACCUCCAAAAAGGCAAAUUCUCCACCAGAUAGCUGCAGUUUUGAAAGAGCGCCCAGGGUGCUGGAAUCCCCCAGAACCCAGCCAUCAAAGACCUGCAUGGAGGACAAGGAGAUGUGUAUACAACAAUGCCCAGCCCAGAGGAAACUAAAAACCCUACAGCCUUUCAGUUCCUUUAUCCUGCACCUGGCGGGAGCCAGGGCCAGCCCCGCCCACACUUCCUUCUCCCC